This 305-nucleotide ribosomal RNA is filed under the name uncultured bacterium. RNAcentral describes it as "bacterial SSU rRNA". It matches the Rfam family "Bacterial small subunit ribosomal RNA", at positions 335 to 658 of the family's 1533-position model. The record is from RNAcentral.
GUCCUACGGGACGCAGCAGUGGGGAAUAUUGCACAAUGGGGGAAACCCUGAUGCAGCGACGCCGCGUGAGUGAAGAAGUAUUUCGGUAUGUAAAGCUCUAUCAGCAGGGAAGAAAAUGACGGUACCUGAUUAAGAAGCCCCGGCUAACUACGUGCCAGCAGCCGCGGUAAUACGUAGGGGGCAAGCGUUAUCCGGAUUUACUGGGUGUAAAGGGAGCGUAGGCGGGAAGCCAAGUCAGCUGUGAAAACUACGGGCUUAACUUGUAGACUGCAGUUGAAACUGGGUUUCUUGAGUGAAGUAUAGGU